Magnolia sinica is the source of this 826-nucleotide long non-coding RNA. RefSeq lists it as uncharacterized. The record is from RefSeq and is a predicted model, not a curated record. The transcript is spliced from 4 exons. Lineage: Eukaryota; Viridiplantae; Streptophyta; Magnoliopsida; Magnoliales; Magnoliaceae.
UCUAUUUCAUUGAGCCUCAUCAUCUGGCUAAAUUCUUCUGGAGAGGACAGUUUAAUGGAGAGAAUGAUGAUUUCAAGCGUUUUUCAUUCUUUGGUCGUGCAACACUUGAAUUGCUUCAUCGAGCUGGCAAGAAACUAGAUAUAAUCCAUCUCCAUGACCGGCAGACAGCGUUUGUUGCACCACUCUAUUGGGAUUUGUAUGCUCCUAGAGGUUUGAAUACGGCUAGAAUUUGCUUUACAUGCCACAAUUUUGAGUAUCAGGGGACAACACUUGCUUCAGAGUUGGCAUCCUGAGGCAUUGAUGUUCACCAGCUGAGUAGACAUGAUAGGAUGCGGGAAAAUGCAUCACAUGAUAGAGUCAAUCCAAUUAAGGGUGUGAUUGUGUUCUCCAACAUUGUAACAAUAGUAUCUCCAUCUUUCUCUCCCUGCCCCAACUCUCUCUCUAUGUCUCUACCCUGAUUUUGCUCAAAAAUAUGAUAACAUGGGGGCUGAAAUGGCUGUCCUUGUUCAGGAGGUUUGAUUGGAUUACUGCGUGGGAUAGAGAAAUUUGAUUCUUCAAAAGGGUAUAAAAUAUCAACUUAUGUAUAUUGAUGGAUUCGUCAGUUGAGGCCAUGGUUUCCUUUGUCAUAGCAAACCAAACAAAUAUCUGCAAAUGCCAAUUUUUUAUUUUUUUAAAAAAAAUUAUGUGAUACCAAAAAGAUUCACAUACACACUAGAUAAUGCUAUGAUAUGGCUAUUUUAAAAUUGUCGGAUAGAAAUGCUGAAUUUCUCUUACAAGAAGUGAUGACGAUGCCAAUAUUAGGGUAAGUGAAUUGAGAAUGUCAACC